Phasianus colchicus (ring-necked pheasant) is the source of this 1851-nucleotide non-coding RNA. NCBI's taxonomy places the organism in Eukaryota, Metazoa, Chordata, Aves, Galliformes, Phasianidae. The record is from RefSeq and is a predicted model, not a curated record.
UCUGUUCCAGUGUUUGACUUCUCCUGGAGUAAAACUUUUCUUUUUUUGUUUUGUUUUUCCUAUUUAUACAGACUUUCACAGGUGUUCACUUUGUGUUCAUCACUUGUUAUCCUGUCACUGGGCAGAAUCUGGCUCCCUCUUCCUCAUUCCUUCCUAUCAAGAAUUUGUAUCAUCAACAAGAUCCCCCUACGCCUCUUCUUUUCCAGGCUGAACGGUCUCAGUUCUUUCAGCUUCUCUUCAUGUCAAAUUAUCCUCUUCCUUUGUUAUUUUUGCGCCCCUUCACUGCACCUGCUGCAGUAGCUUCCUGUCUCAUACCAGUAAGCCCAGAGCUCCAGAUGUAUCGCACCAGAACUGAGUACAGGAGAGGGAAUUCCUCUGCUGACCUGCUGUCAAUGCCUUGCCUAACGUGACUCUGGAGGUCGUUGACUUCCUCUGCUGUGAAGGCACAGUGUUGGCUUGUGGUCAGCUUUUUGUCCUGCAGAACCCAGAUUCCUCUCUGUAGUGCUUCUCCUCAUCCUGUCAUUAUGUACUGGGGAGUCAUUUCUUGACAGACACAGGACUUUGCAUUUCUUCUUGUUGAAUAUCACACGAUUCUUUUCAGCCUAAUACUGCAGCCAAUCCAGCUCCCUUUGAAUGGCAGCGCACUCAACUAGUGCCUCAGCAGCAAUGUUGUACCAUCUACAAACUUGAUGAGAGUGCACUUUGUCCAGACGUUCAGGCCAUUAAUGAAGAUAGACAGUGUUGGCCCUGAUGUUGUCCCCUGGCAUACUUGUUGUGGUUUCAGGAUUUCUGCUAUUGGUAUUCCACAUCGUAACAUCAGGUAAUGCACAGGGAGUUAAAGAGUUAAGGCUUCAGUUCCAUGGACUGUUGAUAGUUCCAGGUACAUUUCACAGAAGAGAAAGAAUGAACUGUAUCUCCCAGAAUACCUCACUGUUCCAUUUCCAUUUUCUGUUUAAAGGGAAAGAGAAAACUGGGAGUCAUGAGACUUCUUUUUCUGCUUGGCUCUGCAGUGUAUGCUCCCUAGCUGUCUCACCUUCAACAUUAGAGUAAGGCCUUUGGUUUUAGACAAUCUCUUGUUUGGUUUAUUAGUUACAAUUCCAAUUGUAUUGUGUUACAUUGCAUUCUCUCACAUUGUGCUCUAAUACUUAGUGAAUUAAUUUUCUCCCUUAGCUCGUUGCUGCUGUUUUGUUUUUAGACCCAUCACAGGGUCCCCCUGUGCCAUUUAGUCAAGGAACCAGGUUGAACCAGGCCAGAACUGUGACAGUGCUGUAUCUGAAUAACUGGGUAAAAGUCACGAGGUGCACUGAGCAGGACUUAUGCUCCACCAUACAUUUUUGUUGAGUUUGUAAUAUAGAGCUGGUUGUAUGGAAGUGGAGCUUAAUUGUAACUUUCCUAAAAUCAGAACGCUGUAAUGUUGUAAUUCCAAAGAUGUUCACUAUAUGUUUCCCAUUUACGAGUAUUUAUAGCUGACCUACUGUUACUGAAUCCUCGCUAAUUUUGUAUUUACUUUUAUUCUUUGAGAGAUAUAACUGUGAGGUGAGAAGAUGAAAAAUUCGUUGCACUCUGCGGAGAAGCAAGACAAUUUUCUUUGUAUGAAUGGCAGAACAGCCCCAUGGCAAGACUUGUAGGAAAUUGCUGACCUUCACACAAUCACCAUUCAUCCAUACCCUGUUCUCAUCAAAGUCCACGCACUGGAGAUAAUGGAGGUCCUUGCUGUGAAGAAAGGGAAAUAGAGAUGCAAGGGAAUGAUGGAGCUGAAAAGAAGUACAAUAAGAGAGUUUGGCAAACUUUUUUCACAGGACAAUGAUUGAUCAGUUUGCUCUCUUCUAUUUAUGAAUCAUCUGGAAGUGG